CCCUACGGGAGGCAGCAGUGAGGAAUAUUGGUCAAUGGGCGUAAGCCUGAACCAGCCAAGUCGCGUGAGGGACGACGGCCCUACGGGUUGUAAACCUCUUUUGCCGGGGGACAAACGGCGGCACGCGUGCCGUCCUGAGGGUACCCGGAGAAAAAGCAUCGGCUAACUCCGUGCCAGCAGCCGCGGUAAUACGGAGGGUGCGAGCGUUAAUCGGAAUUACUGGGCGUAAAGCGCUCGUAGGCGGUAUGUCAAGUCAAGGGUGAAAUCCCCGCGCUCAACGUGGGAACUGCCUUUGAAACUGGCAA
RNAcentral lists this ribosomal RNA (305 nucleotides) under uncultured bacterium. RNAcentral's name for it is "bacterial SSU rRNA". It matches the Rfam family "Bacterial small subunit ribosomal RNA", at positions 337 to 639 of the family's 1533-position model. The record is from RNAcentral.